UGAGGAAUAUUGGUCAAUGGGGGCAACCCUGAACCAGCCAAGUCGCGUGAAGGAUGAAGGUCUUAUGGAUUGUAAACUUCUUUUAUACAGGAAUAAAUUGGGGGACGUGUCCCCUUUUGCAUGUACUGUAUGAAUAAGGAUCGGCUAACUCCGUGCCAGCAGCCGCGGUAAUACGGAGGAUCCGAGCGUUAUCCGGAUUUAUUGGGUUUAAAGGGUGCGCAGGCGGGAUGUUAAGUCGGCGGUGAAAUUUUGCAGCUCAACUGUAAAAAUGCCUUCGAAACUGGCUUCCUUGAAUGUAGAUGAAGUAGGCGGAAUUUGUGGUGUUGCGGUGAAAUGCUUAGAUAUCACGAGGAACUCCGAUUGCGCAGGCAGCUUACUAAACUACAACUGACGCUCAUGCACGAAGGCGUGGGGAUCAAACA
This 422-nucleotide ribosomal RNA is filed under the name uncultured bacterium. Its description in RNAcentral is "bacterial SSU rRNA". It matches the Rfam family "Bacterial small subunit ribosomal RNA", at positions 355 to 774 of the family's 1533-position model. The record is from RNAcentral.